GAGCUUAUAGAAAAGGAAUUGGAGCAAUCUCGGUGCUAAACAAGCAUCUAUAGCAUUUGAGAGCCAAAAGCUAAAAGGAAUUGAAAGGAGAUUCUUGAUCUAUGAUAAAGGAGAUGUCAAUGAUCAUGCUUGCCUUGACCAAGUUUAAACAAUAUCUUGUAUGUGGAAGAUUUGUGGUCAAAACAUAUCACAACUUGAGGCUUCAAUUUGAAAGGGCUUGGAUUUGUUUGAGCAAAGGCUUAUAGAACUUCAUUGCUAAACUGUACAAAGGAUUUGAGCGCUUACCUUGGAGACUUAGCGCUAACCUUUGGAGGUGAUUUAAGGAGCUAUUUCAGACAUUUGAGACAGCCUCAUCCUUGUUUUAGGUCUGCCAUAAAAAUCAGAUUUAUAUUCAGAUUUGUAAUCAGCAUCCAUACCUUGUUGAUUGGCAUUUUAUUCAUCAUAACAUUGAAGGCAACAAUCGGGAUGGGGACGGCAGGAUGAGUUUCCAAGACAGCAAAUUUUUUUGCCAAUUUUGGGGACGGAAGGGGGACGGCAAAGGGGGCGGCUAUAUAAAAUAUAGGAAAAUUUUAAAUGUUCAUAUGAAAAAUAGAUAAAGCAUGUAUAUAUUGUAUAUAUACAUUAUAUUCAUAUGAAAACAUGGAUAAAGCAUGUAUAUGUACAUCAUGAACCUUAACA
Long non-coding RNA from Cryptomeria japonica (Japanese cedar), 678 nucleotides. RefSeq lists it as uncharacterized. NCBI's taxonomy places the organism in Eukaryota, Viridiplantae, Streptophyta, Pinopsida, Cupressales, Cupressaceae. The record is from RefSeq and is a predicted model, not a curated record. The transcript has 3 exons.